GACGAACGCUGGCGGCGUGCUUAACACAUGCAAGUCGAACGGUGAAGCGCCUUCCUUUUUGGUGGGUGUGGAUGAGUGGCGAACGGGUGAGUAACACGUGAGUAACCUGCCCCCUUCUUCUGGAUAACCGCAUGAAAGUGUGGCUAAUACGGGAUAUUCUGGGUCUGUCGCAUGAUGGGUCUGGGAAAGAUAUUGUUUCGGUGGGGGAUGGGCUCGCGGCCUAUCAGCUUGUUGGUGGGGUGAUGGCCUACCAAGGCGGUGACGGGUAGCCGGCCUGAGAGGGUGGACGGUCACACUGGGACUGAGACACGGCCCAGACUCCUACGGGAGGCAGCAGUGGGGAAUAUUGCACAAUGGGCGAAAGCCUGAUGCAGCGACGCCGCGUGAGGGAUGGAGGCCUUCGGGUUGUGAACCUCUUUCGCCAGUGAAGCAGGCCUGCCUCGUUUGUGGGUGGGUUGACAGUAGCUGGAGAAGAAGCGCCGGCUAACUACGUG
Molecule: ribosomal RNA, 494 nt
Filed under: uncultured bacterium
Lineage: Bacteria
Description: partial 16S ribosomal RNA
Rfam family: Bacterial small subunit ribosomal RNA
Source: RNAcentral